This 838-nucleotide ribosomal RNA is filed under the name uncultured archaeon. RNAcentral's name for it is "bacterial SSU rRNA". It matches the Rfam family "Archaeal small subunit ribosomal RNA", at positions 21 to 859 of the family's 1478-position model. The record is from RNAcentral.
AGGUUACUGCUAUCGGUGUUCGCGUAAGCCAUGCGAGUCAUAUGUUCGUAAGAACAUGGCGUACUGCUCAGUAACACGUGGAUAACCUGCCCUUGGGUCCGGCAUAACCCCGGGAAACUGGGGAUAAUUCCGGAUAACGCACAUAUGCUGGAAUGCUUUAUGCGUAAAAUGGAUUCGUCUGCCCAAGGAUGGGUCUGCGGCCUAUCAGGUAGUAGUGGGUGUAAUGUACCUACUAGCCUACGACGGGUACGGGUUGUGAGAGCAAGAGCCCGGAGAUGGAUUCUGAGACAUGAAUCCAGGCCCUACGGGGCGCAGCAGGCGCGAAAACUUUACAAUGCGGGAAACCGUGAUAAGGGGACACCGAGUGCCAGCAUCCUAUGCUGGCUGUCCGGGUGUGUAAAAUACACCUGUUAGCAAGGGCCGGGCAAGACCGGUGCCAGCCGCCGCGGUAACACCGGCGGCCCGAGUGGUGAUCGUGAUUAUUGGGUCUAAAGGGUCCGUAGCCGGUUUGGUCAGUCCUCCGGGAAAUCUGACAGCUUAACUGUUAGGCUUUCGGAGGAUACUGCCAGACUUGGAACCGGGAGAGGUAAGAGGUACUACAGGGGUAGGAGUGAAAUCUUGUAAUCCCUGUGGGACCACCUGUGGCGAAGGCGUCUUACCAGAACGGGUUCGACGGUGAGGGACGAAAGCUGGGGGCACGAACCGGAUUAGAUACCCGGGUAGUCCCAGCCGUAAACGAUGCUCGCUAGGUGUCAGGCAUGGCGCGACCGUGUCUGGUGCCGCAGGGAAGCCGUGAAGCGAGCCACCUGGGAAGUACGGCCGCAAGGCUGAAACUUAA